GAUGAACGCUGGCGGCGUGCUUAACACAUGCAAGUCGAACGGAAAGGCCCCUUUGGGGGUACUCGAGUGGUGAACGGGUGAGUAACACGUGAGUAACCUGCCCUUGACUUUGGGAUAACUACAGGAAACUGGGGCCAAUACCGGUAAGGAAUCCUUGCUGCAUGGUGGGGGUUGGAAAGCUUCGGCGGGUUUGGAUGGACUCGCGGCUUAUCAGCUUGUUGGUGGGGUAGUGGCUUACCUAGGCGUUGACGGGUAGCCGGCCUGAGAGGGCGACCGGCCACAUUGGGACUGAGGUGAGGCCCAGACUCCGACGGGAGGCAGCAGUGGGGAAUAUUGCACAAGGGGCGGCGGGCUGAUGCAGCAACGCCGCGUGCGGGAUGACGGCCUUCGGGUUGAAAACCGCUUUCAGCAGGAGCGAAGCUUGUGGUGACGGUACCUGCAGAAGAAGCACCGGCUAACUACGUG
RNAcentral lists this ribosomal RNA (465 nucleotides) under uncultured bacterium. Its description in RNAcentral is "partial 16S ribosomal RNA". It matches the Rfam family "Bacterial small subunit ribosomal RNA", at positions 28 to 507 of the family's 1533-position model. The record is from RNAcentral.